GCCCUUGAGUUUGAUCCUGGCUCAGGAUGAACGCUGGCGGCGUGCCUAACACAUGCAAGUCGAACGAAGCACUUUCUUUAGAUUCUUCGGAUGAAGAAGACUGUGACUGAGUGGCGGACGGGUGAGUAACGCGUGGGCAACCUGCCCUGUACAGGGGGAUAACAGUUAGAAAUGACUGCUAAUACCGCAUAAGCGCACGAGGACGCAUGUUCUUGUGUGAAAAACUCCGGUGGUACAGGAUGGGCCCGCGUCUGAUUAGGUAGUUGGUGGGGCAGCGGCCUACCAAGCCGACGAUCAGUAGCCGACCUGAGAGGGUGACCGGCCACAUUGGGACUGAGACACGGCCCAAACUCCUACGGGAGGCAGCAGUGGGGAAUAUUGCACAAUGGGGGAAACCCUGAUGCAGCGACGCCGCGUGAAGGAAGAAGUAUUUCGGUAUGUAAACUUCUAUCAGCAGGGAAGAAGAUGACGGUACCUGACUAAGAAGCACCGGCUAAAUACGUGCCAGCAGCCGCGGUAAUACGUAUGGUGCAAGCGUUAUCCGGAUUUACUGGGUGUAAAGGGAAGGGC
RNAcentral lists this ribosomal RNA (570 nucleotides) under uncultured Bacillota bacterium. RNAcentral describes it as "bacterial SSU rRNA". It matches the Rfam family "Bacterial small subunit ribosomal RNA", at positions 1 to 573 of the family's 1533-position model. Lineage: Bacteria; Bacillati; Bacillota. The record is from RNAcentral.